Molecule: ribosomal RNA, 253 nt
Filed under: uncultured bacterium
Lineage: Bacteria
Description: partial 16S ribosomal RNA
Rfam family: Bacterial small subunit ribosomal RNA
Source: RNAcentral
UACGGGGGGGGCAAGCGUUGUUCGGAAUUACUGGGCGUAAAGAGUGCGUAGGCGGUUUUCUAAGUUUGGUGUGAAAUCUCCCGGCUUAACUGGGAGGGUGCGCCGAAGACUGGAAGGCUUGAGUAUGGGAGAGGUAAGCGGAAUUCCUGGUGUAGCGGUGAAAUGCGUAGAUAUCAGGAGGAACACCUGCGGUGUAGACGGCUUACUGGACCAUCACUGACGCUGAGGCACGAAGGCCAGGGGAGCAAACGGG